AGGGCACCACCAGGAGUGGAGCCUGCGGCUUAAUUUGACUCAACACGGGGAAACUCACCAGGUCAGAACACUGGAAGGAUGGACAGAUUGAUAGCUCUUUCUUGAUUCAGUGGGUGGUGGUGCAUGGCCGUUCUUAGUUGGUGGAGUGAUUUGUCUGGUUGAUUCCGAUAACGAACGAGAUUCUUGCCAAGCAUUUUGGAUCGUAGGAGAACGGCCUUAUGGCUGAGUACCCUGCGCCAGUAAUGCCGGGACAGAGAUCAACUAAGAUCUAUGAGAAAGAGCGAUAACAGGUCUGUGAUGCCCUUAGAUGUUCUGGGCUGCACGCGCGCUACACUGAAAAGGGGAACGUGCGUGCGGAUCCGGGCAUUUCUGAGAGGAGGUGCGAACCAUUUGAAACCUUUUCGUGAUGGGGAUUGGGCUUUGUAAUUAUUGCCCAUGAACGAGGAAUUCCCAGUAAACGUAAUUCAUCAAAUUGCGUUGACUACGUCCCUGCCCUUUGUACACACCGCCCGUCGCUAC
RNAcentral lists this ribosomal RNA (519 nucleotides) under uncultured eukaryote. Its description in RNAcentral is "bacterial SSU rRNA". It matches the Rfam family "Eukaryotic small subunit ribosomal RNA", at positions 1161 to 1682 of the family's 1831-position model. The record is from RNAcentral.